RNAcentral lists this ribosomal RNA (36 nucleotides) under Pelobates cultripes (western spadefoot toad). RNAcentral describes it as "SSU_rRNA_eukarya". The record is from RNAcentral. Lineage: Eukaryota; Metazoa; Chordata; Amphibia; Anura; Pelobatidae.
AGGGAGCCAGAGAAACGGCUACCACAUCCAAGGAAG